AAAAAAAAAAAAAAGAAUUGCUUUAGCCUUUAAGCUUUGGGAUGAUGUUUUCUUUUUUUUAUCUUCUUUAGAGUAUUGGUAGGACAAGGAAAGCCCGCAACUUUCUUUCCUCGCAGUUGCCAAGAACCCACUUUUCUUUUUUCAUAUUUUGUCGCCUGCUUUGUAUUUUCUUAUUUGUAGGCUAAGGAAUAGAGAUUUUUCUUUUCUUUUAACAAACAAAACUCACUGCCUCUGCUAUUUUGCUACGACGCAUGUUUAGUAGUGUAUAUAGUCAACAGCCGUGUGUUCUGUUCCCAUCUCUUCUCUGCAAGGCUUGAACCAUG
RNAcentral lists this unclassified non-coding RNA (323 nucleotides) under Hevea brasiliensis (rubber tree). The record is from RNAcentral. Lineage: Eukaryota; Viridiplantae; Streptophyta; Magnoliopsida; Malpighiales; Euphorbiaceae.